UAUUAGUCAAUGCUCGCAAGAGUGAACUAGCUAACUGAAAUCCUUGAUGUGACAUCGAGGAUAACGUAAGGGAAAAUAAUGAUAUUACCUUACUAUUAGUGUCGUCCAAAUGCUCGUGCCAGAAGACUCGGUAAGGCGAGAGACGCAAACGUUAGUCGUCUUGAUCAGGCGUAAAGGGUUUGUAGGCAGCUUUAAGUAUCCAAUUUAAUGUUUACUAUUAUAAUAUUUACAUGUUAUAAUUUUUAUUAAAGGAUCAAUUAAAGCUAGAAUCUAGAAGAGGUGAAUACAAUGCUUGAGCUUAGGAGUACUAACCGCAAACAUCAAGUAGAGUGCUAAGGGCGAAGGCAGUUUUCCAAAACAGAUUGACGCUGAGAAACGAAGGUGAGGAUAGAAAAAAGGAUUAGAUACCCUUGUAUCCCUCACUGUCAACGAUGAAUGGUAGUUACUAGGGAGAAAUAACCUAGAGGCGAUGUUAACACGUAAACCAUUCCGCCUUGUGAGUACGACUGCAAAGUUGAAAACAAAAAAAUUAGUCGGUUUCGGAGCAAACGAAGUGAAGCAUGUUAUUUAU
This 571-nucleotide ribosomal RNA is filed under the name Phylloporia oreophila. RNAcentral's name for it is "SSU rRNA". It matches the Rfam family "Bacterial small subunit ribosomal RNA", at positions 362 to 949 of the family's 1533-position model. Lineage: Eukaryota; Fungi; Basidiomycota; Agaricomycetes; Hymenochaetales; Hymenochaetaceae. The record is from RNAcentral.